This 819-nucleotide long non-coding RNA is filed under the name Equus caballus (horse). RNAcentral describes it as "lncRNA (ENSECAG00000044862.1)". The record is from RNAcentral. Lineage: Eukaryota; Metazoa; Chordata; Mammalia; Perissodactyla; Equidae.
AAUCUGUUACCAAGAGAACAGCCAUUGCCAGGAAGAAAUGCCUUCCCUUUUCUCACUCUACUGCCUUCUUCACAGAUCAGCACCCUUUUCUUCGCUUUCCACAUGCUUCCUCUUCCUUCUUAGGAAAGAAUGUGAUGUUUGAUGGGCAUGUGUCAGGCAGCACUGAGCCGCGAAAGAGCAUCUGGAGGAUGUGAAGCUUGGUCCUGACUUUGCCCUUAACCAAGACCUCGGUGACCUUGAGCAGGGGCCGGGCAGGGGGGAAGGUCACAGACUCUCUGGGUCUCUGUUUUCUCAACUCUAACCUAAGAGGCUGCACUCAGUAGGCCCAGUGUGUCUCCAUGAUUCUGUGAAUCUGUAACUUUCAAAAUCUUCAGAACACCCGUGAAGGGUAAGCAGGCAGGGAUUUUUGUCCAUAUUUGACUCAUGAAGAAACUAAGGAUGGAGGAAGUGAGAGGACUGAGGAGUGUUUGAACCAGCGCCAGAAGUGAGUUCACCUGAGUUCCAGCACAAUAUUCCUUCUAGCGUGAGAGAAACAUGGACCCUUCCUCCCAGGAAUUUACUAUCAAGCUUAUUCAGCUGGCACUGGUUUGAGGAAAGACUACAGGCUCUUAAGAGAGGUCAGCAAGGGAGGCAGGACCGCCAGAAAGGGCCGGUCGGACCUGGGUCAUGGCCGCUGUGAGGAGGGAAAUCGGAAGAGGCUGUUUGCUGAGGGGCUGGCAUUCCCUGGAGCACAAGGGAAGGGGAAGUUGCCAGGAAACCCUGAGUUUUCCAACCUGACAAUCAGGCCACAGCUGAGUUUUUAUAGGAAAUUGCCCAGCU